Molecule: microRNA, 22 nt
Filed under: Sarcophilus harrisii (Tasmanian devil)
Lineage: Eukaryota; Metazoa; Chordata; Mammalia; Dasyuromorphia; Dasyuridae
Also listed under: 2 other names
Description: Sha-Mir-12316-P2-v1_3p (mature (guide))
Source: RNAcentral
UUGAAAGGGAUCAGAGGUCAUU